GCCGGCAUAGCUCAGUUGGUAGAGCGCCGCUUUUGUAAAGCGGAUGUCCGGGGUUCAAAUCCUCGUGCCGGCU
This 73-nucleotide transfer RNA is filed under the name Minisyncoccota bacterium. Its description in RNAcentral is "tRNA-Thr". It matches the Rfam family "tRNA". From Rfam's summary of the family: Transfer RNA (tRNA) molecules are approximately 80 nucleotides in length. Their secondary structure includes four short double-helical elements and three loops (D, anti-codon, and T loops). Further hydrogen bonds mediate the characteristic L-shaped molecular structure. tRNAs have two regions of fundamental functional importance: the anti-codon, which is responsible for specific mRNA codon recognition, and the 3' end, to which the tRNAs corresponding amino acid is attached (by aminoacyl-tRNA synthetases). tRNAs cope with the degeneracy of the genetic code in two manners: having more than one tRNA (with a specific anti-codon) for a particular amino acid; and 'wobble' base-pairing, i.e. permitting non-standard base-pairing at the 3rd anti-codon position. Lineage: Bacteria; Bacillati; Minisyncoccota. The record is from RNAcentral.